Molecule: ribosomal RNA, 382 nt
Filed under: uncultured bacterium
Lineage: Bacteria
Description: bacterial SSU rRNA
Rfam family: Bacterial small subunit ribosomal RNA
Source: RNAcentral
AUUGAACGCUGGCGGCAUGCCUUACACAUGCAAGUCGAACGGCAGCACGGGGCAACCUGGUGGCGAGUGGCGAACGGGUGAGUAAUGCAUCGGAACGUGCCAUUGAGUGGGGGAUAACGUAGCGAAAGUUGCGCUAAUACCGCAUAUUCUGUGAGCAGGAAAGCAGGGGACCGCAAGGCCUUGCGCUCUUUGAGCGGCCGAUGUCAGAUUAGCUAGUUGGUGAGGUAACGGCUUACCAAGGCGACGAUCUGUAGCGGGUCUGAGAGGAUGAUCCGCCACACUGGAACUGAGACACGGUCCAGACUCCUACGGAGGCAGCAGUGGGAAUUUUGGACAAUGGGCGCAAGCCUGAUCCAGCCAUGCCGCGUGAGUGAAGAAGGCC